This 284-nucleotide ribosomal RNA is filed under the name Virgibacillus dakarensis. Its description in RNAcentral is "partial 23S ribosomal RNA". It matches the Rfam family "Bacterial large subunit ribosomal RNA", at positions 2740 to 2925 of the family's 2925-position model. The record is from RNAcentral. Lineage: Bacteria; Bacillati; Bacillota; Bacilli; Caryophanales; Bacillaceae.
GCUGGGUAGCUACGUGUGGCAAGGAUAAGUGCUGAAAGCAUCUAAGCAUGAAGCCACCCUCAAGAUGAGACUUCCCACUUCCAGAGGUCAGAGUUCAGAAGCCAGAAGUCAGAGAAAAAGCUUUGGCUGGGAAGGUUCAGGAUGAAUGAAUCCGACCUCCGGUUUCUGACAUCUGACCUCUGGAAGGUAAGAUCCCUCAGAGACGAUGAGGUAGAUAGGUCCGAGGUGGAAGCGUGGUGACACGUGGAGCUGACGGAUACUAAUCGAUCGAGGACUUAACUAUA